CCCUGGCAGUCAGAGGCGAUGAAGGACGUGCUAAUCUGCGAUAAGCGUCGGUAAGGUGAUAUGAACCGUUAUAACCGGCGAUUUCCGAAUGGGGAAACCCAGUGUGUUUCGACACACUAUCAUUAACUGAAUCCAUAGGUUAAUGAGGCGAACCGGGGGAACUGAAACAUCUAAGUACCCCGAGGAAAAGAAAUCAACCGAGAUUCCCCCAGUAGCGGCGAGCGAACGGGGAGCAGCCCAGAGCCUGAAUCAGUGUGUGUGUUAGUGGAAGCGUCUGGAAAGGCGCGCGAUACAGGGUGACAGCCCCGUACACAAAAAUGCACAUGCUGUGAGCUCGAUGAGUAGGGCGGGACACGUGGUAUCCUGUCUGAAUAUGGGGGGACCAUCCUCCAAGGCUAAAUACUCCUGACUGACCGAUAGUGAACCAGUACCGUGAGGGAAAGGCGAAAAGAACCCCGGCGAGGGGAGUGAAAAAGAACCUGAAACCGUGUACGUACAAGCAGUGGGAGCACGCUUAGGCGUGUGACUGCGUACCUUUUGUAUAAUGGGUCAGCGACUUAUAUUCUGUAGCAAGGUUAACCGAAUAGGGGAGCCGAAGGGAAACCGAGUCUUAACUGGGCGUUAAGUUGCAGGGUAUAGACCCGAAACCCGGUGAUCUAGCCAUGGGCAGGUUGAAGGUUGGGUAACACUAACUGGAGGACCGAACCGACUAAUGUUGAAAAAUUAGCGGAUGACUUGUGGCUGGGGGUGAAAGGCCAAUCAAACCGGGAGAUAGCUGGUUCUCCCCGAAAGCUAUUUAGGUAGCGCCUCGUGAAUUCAUCUCCGGGGGUAGAGCACUGUUUCGGCAAGGGGGUCAUCCCGACUUACCAACCCGAUGCAAACUGCGAAUACCGGAGAAUGUUAUCACGGGAGACACACGGCGGGUGCUAACGUCCGUCGUGAAGAGGGAAACAACCCAGACCGCCAGCUAAGGUCCCAAAGUCAUGGUUAAGUGGGAAACGAUGUGGGAAGGCCCAGACAGCCAGGAUGUUGGCUUAGAAGCAGCCAUCAUUUAAAGAAAGCGUAAUAGCUCACUGGUCGAGUCGGCCUGCGCGGAAGAUGUAACGGGGCUAAACCAUGCACCGAAGCUGCGGCAGCGACGCUGAUGCGUUGUUGGGUAGGGGAGCGUUCUGUAAGCCUGCGAAGGUGUGCUGUGAGGCAUGCUGGAGGUAUCAGAAGUGCGAAUGCUGACAUAAGUAACGAUAAAGCGGGUGAAAAGCCCGCUCGCCGGAAGACCAAGGGUUCCUGUCCAACGUUAAUCGGGGCAGGGUGAGUCGACCCCUAAGGCGAGGCCGAAAGGCGUAGUCGAUGGGAAACAGGUUAAUAUUCCUGUACUUGGUGUUACUGCGAAGGGGGGACGGAGAAGGCUAUGUUGGCCGGGCGACGGUUGUCCCGGUUUAAGCGUGUAGGCUGGUUUUCCAGGCAAAUCCGGAAAAUCAAGGCUGAGGCGUGAUGACGAGGCACUACGGUGCUGAAGCAACAAAUGCCCUGCUUCCAGGAAAAGCCUCUAAGCAUCAGGUAACAUCAAAUCGUACCCCAAACCGACACAGGUGGUCAGGUAGAGAAUACCAAGGCGCUUGAGAGAACUCGGGUGAAGGAACUAGGCAAAAUGGUGCCGUAACUUCGGGAGAAGGCACGCUGAUAUGUAGGUGAGGUCCCUCGCGGAUGGAGCUGAAAUCAGUCGAAGAUACCAGCUGGCUGCAACUGUUUAUUAAAAACACAGCACUGUGCAAACACGAAAGUGGACGUAUACGGUGUGACGCCUGCCCGGUGCCGGAAGGUUAAUUGAUGGGGUUAGCGCAAGCGAAGCUCUUGAUCGAAGCCCCGGUAAACGGCGGCCGUAACUAUAACGGUCCUAAGGUAGCGAAAUUCCUUGUCGGGUAAGUUCCGACCUGCACGAAUGGCGUAAUGAUGGCCAGGCUGUCUCCACCCGAGACUCAGUGAAAUUGAACUCGCUGUGAAGAUGCAGUGUACCCGCGGCAAGACGGAAAGACCCCGUGAACCUUUACUAUAGCUUGACACUGAACAUUGAGCCUUGAUGUGUAGGAUAGGUGGGAGGCUU
This 2101-nucleotide ribosomal RNA is filed under the name Escherichia coli. RNAcentral's name for it is "partial 23S ribosomal RNA". It matches the Rfam family "Bacterial large subunit ribosomal RNA", at positions 31 to 2157 of the family's 2925-position model. Lineage: Bacteria; Pseudomonadati; Pseudomonadota; Gammaproteobacteria; Enterobacterales; Enterobacteriaceae. The record is from RNAcentral.